This 71-nucleotide transfer RNA is filed under the name Loxodonta africana (African savanna elephant). It matches the Rfam family "tRNA". Rfam says of the family: Transfer RNA (tRNA) molecules are approximately 80 nucleotides in length. Their secondary structure includes four short double-helical elements and three loops (D, anti-codon, and T loops). Further hydrogen bonds mediate the characteristic L-shaped molecular structure. tRNAs have two regions of fundamental functional importance: the anti-codon, which is responsible for specific mRNA codon recognition, and the 3' end, to which the tRNAs corresponding amino acid is attached (by aminoacyl-tRNA synthetases). tRNAs cope with the degeneracy of the genetic code in two manners: having more than one tRNA (with a specific anti-codon) for a particular amino acid; and 'wobble' base-pairing, i.e. permitting non-standard base-pairing at the 3rd anti-codon position. The record is from Rfam by way of RNAcentral. Lineage: Eukaryota; Metazoa; Chordata; Mammalia; Proboscidea; Elephantidae.
GCAGUGGUGGUUCGGUGGUAGAAUUCUGGCCUUCCAUGCAGGAGUCCCAGGUUCGAUUCCCGGCCAGUGCA